This 169-nucleotide unclassified non-coding RNA is filed under the name soil metagenome. RNAcentral's name for it is "partial internal transcribed spacer 1". The record is from RNAcentral.
CCGAGUUUUCAACUCCCAAACCCCUGUGAACAUACCAAUCGUUGCCCUCGGCGGGAGAGCCCCGGGCGUUGGCGAAAGCCUCGCACCGGUAUCAAGGCGCCCGCCGGAGGACCCAAACAAACUCUUGAAUUCUAAAGUAUCUUCUGAGUAACAUAAGUUAAAUAAAUUA